GAGAGGAAGGUCCCCCACAUUGGAACUGAGACACGGUCCAAACUCCUACGGGAGGCAGCAGUGAGGAAUAUUGGUCAAUGGACGAGAGUCUGAACCAGCCAAGUAGCGUGAAGGAUGACUGCCCUAUGGGUUGUAAACUUCUUUUAUAUGGGAAUAAAACGUUCCACGUGUGGAAUUUUGUAUGUACCAUAUGAAUAAGGAUCGGCUAACUCCGUGCCAGCAGCCGCGGUAAUACGGAGGAUCCGAGCGUUAUCCGGAUUUAUUGGGUUUAAAGGGAGCGUAGGUGGAUUGUUAAGUCAGUUGUGAAAGUUUGCGGCUCAACCGUAAAAUUGCAGUUGAAACUGGCAGUCUUGAGUACAGUAGAGGUGGGCGGAAUUCGUGGUGUAGCGGUGAAAUGCUUAGAU
RNAcentral lists this ribosomal RNA (404 nucleotides) under uncultured bacterium. Its description in RNAcentral is "bacterial SSU rRNA". It matches the Rfam family "Bacterial small subunit ribosomal RNA", at positions 294 to 695 of the family's 1533-position model. The record is from RNAcentral.